GUAGGGAAUAUUGGGCAAUGGAUGGAAGUCUGACCCAGCCAUGCCGCGUGCCGGAUGAAGGCGCUCUGCGUUGUAAACGGCUUUUAUUCGGGAAGAAGAGUAGGGAUGCGUCCUUAUGUGACGGUACCGAAUGAAUAAGCACCGGCUAACUCCGUGCCAGCAGCCGCGGUAAUACGGAGGGUGCGAGCGUUGUCCGGAUUUAUUGGGGGUCAAGGGUGCGUAGGUGGCUUAAUAAGUCAGUAGUGAACUACGGUUGCUUAACAAGCGAGGUGCCAUUGAUACUGUUAGGCUUGAAAUAAUUGGAGGCUGCCGGAAUGGAUGGUGUAGCGGUGAAAUGCAUAGAUAUCAUCCAGAACACCGAUUGCGAAGGCAGGUGGCUACGAUUUAUUUGACACUGAUGCACGAAAGCAUGGGGAGCAAACAGGAUUAGAAACCCGUGUAGUCC
RNAcentral lists this ribosomal RNA (445 nucleotides) under uncultured bacterium. Its description in RNAcentral is "partial 16S ribosomal RNA". It matches the Rfam family "Bacterial small subunit ribosomal RNA", at positions 354 to 796 of the family's 1533-position model. The record is from RNAcentral.